GGAGACACAGGGCUGUAGCCCAGAGCGGGAGCACAUCCAGUGUGCUCCUGCAGGUGGAAUAAGGUUUUUCCUGGUUGAGGGAUACUCUGUGACAAGGGAGGAGGAAACCAAGAGGUGGGGGAUAAAGUGAAGUAAUUGAAGCAAGUGGGUCAUGUAUUCCUUUUGCUAGCUGACUCCCCACUGCUUCGGACUUCAUCUUCAGAAAUCAUCUUCUGACAGGAACAGAUCCCUUCAGGAUAAAUCGGAUUCUUGAAUUGUUUGCAGAGCUGAUACUCCCUCAACGAAUUUUGUGGAGAUUGAAACAAUGAAAUCCCUACCUCCUUGUUUCUAAGAUGUUACUUGAUGUAGAUGAAAAAAAAAAAACUAUUUAAAGCAGGACAGCAGCAAGGAAUGCAGUGGCCAGCAGGAGAGGAGGAGCAGAGGAGCAGCAGAGGCUUUUAAAACUAAUCUGUCUUUAAAAACUCUUCUACAACUUAGAGCUGGGCCAGGGUCCUACAAUUCCAGACUUCUGGUCACCACAAUCUCCUGGUUACUGAAUGCAGGGGACAGUGGUAUUCUAGAAUCAUGCCUUCAAGAUAAAGAAGAUUUUCUGGAUUUCUAUCCUAGGGAAACUAUAAGUUCAAGAAAGAUCAACUUCAAGAAUUUGGGAACUUUCUAGAGAAAAGAAAGGAAAUUUUUUCUGAUGCAGCAUGCCCAUGAGAAAUAAGAACAGCCCUAUAGUUACUGCAAAGUGCCUUAUUCAGAGAAGUGGAUUAGUGUCAUGCUCAGAUAUAUCUGAGAGUCACUUGGUAGAGGAAAGUCUUAGUAAAGCAAGAUAAUUCCUCCACUUUUGCAGGUAGUCACUUGCUUUGCAAUUUAUACAGUAAUUUUUAAGAAUUAGUUGCCUGGGA
RNAcentral lists this long non-coding RNA (890 nucleotides) under Monodelphis domestica (gray short-tailed opossum). RNAcentral describes it as "lncRNA (ENSMODG00000042323.1)". Lineage: Eukaryota; Metazoa; Chordata; Mammalia; Didelphimorphia; Didelphidae. The record is from RNAcentral.